Long non-coding RNA from Plodia interpunctella (Indianmeal moth), 377 nucleotides. RefSeq lists it as uncharacterized. The transcript has 3 exons. The record is from RefSeq and is a predicted model, not a curated record. Lineage: Eukaryota; Metazoa; Arthropoda; Insecta; Lepidoptera; Pyralidae.
AUAAAUAUAAGGAAACAACUGAGCGCCGAGAAUCAAAUCCACCUUCCCAGGAACAUUCCAGGAGAAUCCAAAUUACGAAAAGAAGGACAACUAUACAGAGCGUGUUUAGUACCAUGACAACAGGGACAUUUUUCCUGUGCCAUAGUCACACCGUUAUCACUCUGAACAACCAAUGAGGUUUCACCAGUCGGGACGAUCCCAGCAGUAACAUUAAGGGCAUUGUGAGUCAAUUUACCUAUUAAAUAUUGCACACGCUGAGAAUCUGACAAUUGAGUGUUAUUAUGAAUAUUUGACUUGAACGACUCAUAAAACAUAGGCCAGUGUUCGGUACGUCCAUCAAAACUAGGAAUCUCGAUGGCAGGAAGCUUUAUAAAACC